CGUGUAGGCGGCUGGCUAAGUCUGGUGUGAAAGCCCGGGGCUCACCCCCGGAAGUGCGCUGGAAACUAGUCAGCUAGAGUAUGGGAGAGGGAAGUGGAAUUCCUGGUGUAGCGGUGAAAUGCGUAGAUAUCAGGAGGAACACCGGCGGCGAAGGCGGCUUCCUGGACCAAUACUGACGCUGAGACGCGAAAGCGUGGGGAGCAAACAGGAUUAGAUACCCUGGUAGUC
Molecule: ribosomal RNA, 228 nt
Filed under: uncultured bacterium
Lineage: Bacteria
Description: partial 16S ribosomal RNA
Rfam family: Bacterial small subunit ribosomal RNA
Source: RNAcentral